This 559-nucleotide ribosomal RNA is filed under the name uncultured archaeon. Its description in RNAcentral is "bacterial SSU rRNA". It matches the Rfam family "Archaeal small subunit ribosomal RNA", at positions 54 to 612 of the family's 1478-position model. The record is from RNAcentral.
ACGGGUGCUUCUUCUUCGGAAGAAGUAACCCGGCGGACGGCUCAGUAACACGUGGAUAACUUGCCCUUGGGUCCGGGAUAACCCCUGAGAAAUUGGGGACAAUACCGGAUAGGGCAUCGAUUGCUGGAAUGCGCGAUGUCCAAAAGCUGAGGCGCCCAAGGAUAGGUCUGCGGCCGAUUAGGUUGUUGUUGAUGUAAUGGAUCAACAAGCCUGCAAUCGGUACGGGUUGUGAGAGCAAGAGCCCGGAGAUGGGUUCUGAGAAAAGAACCCAGGUCCUACGGGACGCAUCAGGCGCGAAAACUUUACAAUGUGCGAAAGCACGAUAAGGGAACUCUGAGUGCCUCCUAUGGAGGCUGUUCAGGUGUCUAAAAAGCACUUGAAGUAAGGGCUGGGUAAGACCGGUGCCAGCCGCCGCGGUAACACCGGCAGCCCAAGUGGUAGCCACGAUUAUUGGGUCUAAAGCGUCCGUAGCCGGCCAGGUAAGUUCUUUGGGAAAUUUAACCGCUCAACGGUUAAGCUUUCAGGGAAUACUGCUUGGCUUGGGACCGGGAGAAGGUCA